Molecule: ribosomal RNA, 253 nt
Filed under: uncultured bacterium
Lineage: Bacteria
Description: partial 16S ribosomal RNA
Rfam family: Bacterial small subunit ribosomal RNA
Source: RNAcentral
UACGGAGGGGGCUAGCGUUGUUCGGAAUUACUGGGCGUAAAGCGCACGUAGGCGGCUUUGUAAGUUAGAGGUGAAAGCCCGGGGCUCAACUCCGGAAUUGCCUUUAAAACUGCAUCGCUAGAAUUGUGGAGAGGUAAGUGGAAUUCCGAGUGUAGAGGUGAAAUUCGUAGAUAUUCGGAAGAACACCGGUGGCGAAGGCGACUUACUGGACACAUAUUGACGCUGAGGUGCGAAAGCGUGGGGAGCAAACAGG